Molecule: non-coding RNA, 98 nt
Organism: Acanthosepion pharaonis
Lineage: Eukaryota; Metazoa; Mollusca; Cephalopoda; Sepiida; Sepiidae
Source: the annotation of a GenBank genome assembly
UGACCACACCGGUUCCUGUACUAUCAUUAAAGUUAAGCAACUUUGUGCCAGGUCGGUACCUAGAUGGGUGACCGCUUAGGAAUAUCCGGUGCUGUAAG